Molecule: transfer RNA, 65 nt
Filed under: Acisoma panorpoides
Lineage: Eukaryota; Metazoa; Arthropoda; Insecta; Odonata; Libellulidae
Description: tRNA-Ile
Source: RNAcentral
AAUAAGAUGCCUGAUAAAAGGGUUAUUUUGAUAGAAUAAAUCAUGUAGGUAUCCUACUCUUAUUA